This 492-nucleotide ribosomal RNA is filed under the name uncultured bacterium. RNAcentral describes it as "partial 16S ribosomal RNA". It matches the Rfam family "Bacterial small subunit ribosomal RNA", at positions 29 to 507 of the family's 1533-position model. The record is from RNAcentral.
AGUGAACGCUGGCGGUAGGCCUAACACAUGCAAGUCGAACGGCAGCACAGUAAGAGCUUGCUCUUACGGGUGGCGAGUGGCGGACGGGUGAGGAAUACAUCGGAAUCUACUUUUUCGUGGGGGAUAACGUAGGGAAACUUACGCUAAUACCGCAUACGACCUACGGGUGAAAGCAGGGGAUCUUCGGACCUUGCGCGAUUGAAUGAGCCGAUGUCGGAUUAGCUAGUUGGCGGGGUAAAGGCCCACCAAGGCGACGAUCCGUAGCUGGUCUGAGAGGAUGAUCAGCCACACUGGAACAGAGGCACGGUCCAGACUCCUGCGGGGGGCAGCAGUGGGGAAUAUUGGACAAUGGGCGCAAGCCUGAUCCAGCCAUACCGCGUGGGUGAAGAAGGCCUUCGGGUUGUAAAGCCCUUUUGUUGGGAAAGAAAAGCAGCAGGUUAAUACCCCGCUGUUCUGACGGUACCCAAAGAAUAAGCACCGGCUAACUUCGUG